Molecule: long non-coding RNA, 1398 nt
Filed under: Capsicum annuum
Lineage: Eukaryota; Viridiplantae; Streptophyta; Magnoliopsida; Solanales; Solanaceae
Description: long non-coding RNA (CANN_LNC018850)
Source: RNAcentral
GAGAAAUAGAUAUGUUUAAGGAAACAAAGGAAAAAGAGAAAAAAAUUAAGGUUGAGACAAAUAAUUAAAAUAAGAAAAAAAAAGGAAAUAAAAAAAAUAAAAAUUAAAAAAAAGAAAAAAAAAAGAAAUAAAAAUAGAAGUUGAGAGACUAAUGAACAUGAAAAGUAAGAGACAAAAAUAUACUUACGCUAUACAUAAAAAGGAAGAAAGAUUAGUCUUCAAAAAUUUAUCUCAUGACAGACAAAAAAACAAAGCCACCCACUAUGAAGACCAUACUAUAUAAUAUCCUGUCCGAUAACAUAACUCAUGAUUGUUGCAAAUUCCUUCAACAUGCAAAAGAGAAACGAAAAAGGUACAAAUAUAAUCCCGAAUUUUUGAUAAAUGGUAUACAUAUGCCCUCCAUUAUACUUUAGAUAAAAAUACACCACUGCCGUUAAUUAUUGGGUACAUAUAUACUCUUCUCACUAAUGAAGCGUCAUGUAUCAUAAGCGUAACCAUUUACUACUUUUUAUUUAUUUUACCCUAAAUAUAUCCACUACUUGACCGAUUAUUUGACUCGAUUCCUAAAAAUACUCAAGAGAUGGGUCUAUUCCUCCACACAGCAAAUAGAGGCGUCUCUCUAACUCUCUCUGCCUCUCACAAACUCACUAACAUCAAUAAAGCAACAACAACAUCAAUAACAAUGGAGAAGGCAGAAACAAUAUCAAUAAUAUUAGAACAUUAAGCAGAAUAUUAUUUAAAUAUUUCAUCAUUUUCAUUGUACUCCAAUAAAACUGCUAGUUUGGUGAAUAAUUAACACAGAAUUAACUCUAAAUAUAGAGGGAGAAGGAUGAUAUAUAGGGUGAGGUAAACAACUUGAUCUAACAGGCACUGUAUUUGUCUGAUAAAAAGUUAAUAUGCUAUUUUCAUUCUAAACUUCAAAAAUAACAAAAAGUUGCAUAAACUAAUCAGAGACAUUCCCUUCCAAAUUCCUCGCAUUUGCACUGGUUCACCUUCAUUACUUGAAGAUUGCAACCAAAAAUCCAGCAAACACAACAAAUAAAACAAUAAAUAACAUCUCCAUCUUCAAUAAUUUUUCUUUCAAAUUUCUUAAUUUGUCCACCUCGGAGCAGAAAUAAGGUUUUUAAAUAACAAGAACACCUUAAAUCGGACUCAAAAAUGAUUCUUUAGAACUUUGGAUUCAAACAACAACAAAUCCAUACAAGAAAACAAUUAAAUGGCAGGUUUAGAUGAAGAAGAAAUACUCAUAGACUUCAACUCGAUUCUUUAUCACGCCGCAAGGAAUCAAAAUCAGAUAUCGAAUAUAUUUUUGUUAGGAAUUUUUGUGAGAGGCAGAGAGAGUAAGAGAGAUGCUUAUGUUUGUUGUAUGGAAGAAUGGACCCGUCUCAUGAGUAUUCU